AGGAAAGCAGGGGAUCGUAAGACCUCGCGUUAAUGGAGUGGCCGAUAUCUGAUUAGCUAGUUGGUGAGGUAAAGGCUCACCAAGGUGACGAUCAGUAGCUGGUCUGAGAGGACGACCAGCCACACUGGAACUGAGACACGGUCCAGACUCCUACGGGAGGCAGCAGUGGGGAAUUUUGGACAAUGGGCGCAAGCCUGAUCCAGCCAUUCCGCGUGAGUGAAGAAGGCCUUCGGGUUGUAAAGCUCUUUCGCAAGGGAAGAAAACUUACUCAAUAACACUGGGUGAGGCUGACGGUACCUUGAUAAGAAGCACCGGCUAACUACGUGCCAGCAGCCGCGGUAAUACGUAGGGUGCGAGCGUUAAUCGGAAUUACUGGGCGUAAAGCGUGCGCAGGCGGUUUUGUAAGUCAGAUGUGAAAGCCCCGGGCUCAACCUGGGAACUGCGUUUGAAACUACAAAGCU
This 461-nucleotide ribosomal RNA is filed under the name uncultured beta proteobacterium. Its description in RNAcentral is "bacterial SSU rRNA". It matches the Rfam family "Bacterial small subunit ribosomal RNA", at positions 200 to 642 of the family's 1533-position model. Lineage: Bacteria; Pseudomonadati; Pseudomonadota; Betaproteobacteria. The record is from RNAcentral.